CUGCCGUGCAGCACCCCUCGCACGGAGAGCAGUAGUGCCCGCCGCCUGAAGUGUUCCACCCAAACGGACCUCACAACAUACCUAUCAUGCGUGUUGUCGUAGCAAGCAUCCUGGCUCUGGCCGCCAUUACUUGCGUCCCCGUUGUCGUGUACCGCAUGACUCUGGCGCCCUCGGGCUCACCGCCCGUUACCCCACCCCGUCUCGAGCCCGUGCGUAUGCCCAUCAACCCCCGCGGCUCCCGGAUGCGGCAGGGCGCGGGUGGCACCCCAAACCUCACGGUGUCUGCUGUUCCCGCCCAGGAGUCCGUCACAAGCGGACCAAUAAAAUAUAUGACGGGGACAUCUACUACGGCCGGCUCACAUUCAAGUCACAAGCCUGCCAGCUCCCCUGCGAAUGCACGUGCGGUCUGGCCAUCCGUCUCGGAUAGUGCUAGUCCACUGCCAUCCACCGCAGCGCCCUCUUCGCCUGCCAACAGCUCUGUCCCACAACACAAUUUCGCUGCCCGGCUACUUCUCAUUGCCUUAAGGCGCCAAGCUCCGACACGAUUAGUGUAAACGUCUGUCAAGCAGAACCUCAAGGAAUUGACUGAUCUAAUAUCCGAACGAUUAAGUUCGGUUCGACUGAUAUCAUCCCCCGGUCGGAGCCUCAUACUCAUAUUCAACCGCGGCGACAUUAGCGAUGUACUGCAACCAUAACUUGUUCACUCUUAAAUUAUUUAUUUAUUGUAUAGGCUUAUGCAUGUAAAUACACCUAACAUCACUU
Long non-coding RNA from Frankliniella occidentalis (western flower thrips), 762 nucleotides. RefSeq lists it as uncharacterized. The transcript has 2 exons. The record is from RefSeq and is a predicted model, not a curated record. Lineage: Eukaryota; Metazoa; Arthropoda; Insecta; Thysanoptera; Thripidae.